This 250-nucleotide long non-coding RNA is filed under the name Vigna radiata. RNAcentral describes it as "long non-coding RNA (VRAD_LNC008742)". The record is from RNAcentral. Lineage: Eukaryota; Viridiplantae; Streptophyta; Magnoliopsida; Fabales; Fabaceae.
AAAGCUAGAACACNGAGUAGUCAGAGGAACGUUCUUGGGAGCUUUUUGUUUACUGUNUUCCCUUGCCUGGUCUUGUGAAAGGAGAGGCUUACGUAUCGUGUGCCGAUAGUCGAAGUGGACUCUCUUCAAGUUGGCAGGGCUCUCUACCUGGUCUUGUGUAAGGAGAAGCACGUGAAUCGUGUGUCGAUUGCCGGUGCAGGUUCUCUUCAAGUUGGUAGAGUGGUUUCCUUCAUUCUAUUUCUGUACCUAU